AAAGAGGAGGAGAGAGUUGAACGGAUUUACUGGGCGUAAAGGGCGCGUAGGCGGCGCGGUGUGUCGGGUGUGAAAUCCAUGGGCCCAACCCAUGAAGUGCGCCCGAAACUGCCGCGCUGGAGUGCGGGAGGGGAGGUCGGAAUGCAGGGUGUAGCGGUGAAAUGCGUUGAUAUCCUGCAGAACACCGGUGGCGAAGGCGGACCUCUGGAUCGCAACUGACGCUGAGGCGCGAAAGUCGGGGGAGCAAACAG
This 251-nucleotide ribosomal RNA is filed under the name uncultured prokaryote. RNAcentral describes it as "partial 16S rRNA". It matches the Rfam family "Bacterial small subunit ribosomal RNA", at positions 525 to 775 of the family's 1533-position model. The record is from RNAcentral.